This 488-nucleotide ribosomal RNA is filed under the name uncultured Acidobacteriota bacterium. RNAcentral's name for it is "bacterial SSU rRNA". It matches the Rfam family "Bacterial small subunit ribosomal RNA", at positions 355 to 833 of the family's 1533-position model. The record is from RNAcentral. Lineage: Bacteria; Pseudomonadati; Acidobacteriota.
UGGGGAAUUGUUCGCAAUGGGCGCAAGCCUGACGACGCAACGCCGCGUGGAGGAUGAAGGUCUUCGGAUUGUAAACUCCUGUUGCCCGGGACGAAUAGCUCCGACCUAACACGUCGGAGUCUGACGGUACCGGGUGAGGAAGCCCCGGCUAACUCUGUGCCAGCAGCCGCGGUAAUACAGAGGGGGCAAGCGUUGUUCGGAAUUACUGGGCGUAAAGGGCGUCGUAGGCGGCCUUCUAAGUCGAACGUGAAAUCCCCGGGCUUCAACCCGGGAACUGCGUCCGAGACUGGAAGGCUUGAAUCCGGGAGAGGGAUGUGGAAUUCCAGGUGUAAGCGGUGAAAUGCGUAGAUAUCUGGAGGAACAUCGGUGGCGAAGGCGGCAUCCUGGACCGGUAUUGACGCUGAGGCGCGAAAGCCAGGGGAGCAAACGGGAUUAGAUACCCCGGUAGUCCUGGCCCUAAACGAUGAAUGCUUGGUGUGGCGGGUAUC